CACAAAAACACAGAUCUCAUCUCAGGUUCUUCUGGAGGCAGUGGAGAAGAUCUCCCCCCACCACCCCAAUGCAAAAACAUUAAGUUGUUUUUCUGGAAGUGGGUUCAAAGAAUCAUUAUUUUGAAGUGGCCUUCUCCAACCUUUUCCCACUGAGCUGAAGCCAGAGAGAAUUCCUUUCUUCUGAUGAAACCCUGCAGCCAGUGCGCCUGAGCUGUUGAUGACUUAUAAACAGAAGUCAAAGGGAAUUUGAGCUUCUGUCAAGACCAAUUCCAAAUAUAAUAAAAAGGGAGAUGAUUGGAUGUCUCUUCAAGGCUUUGGAGGAGCUCUCUUGUGCUUUGGCUGUUCUUUGAAAUCGCAAGAAAAAGAGAUAAAAAGUAAAGUUUCUGGCUCUCAUUUGUUACCUAUUUUGGCAGAAAUGUUUGUGUUUCCAGUAGCUCUUGUCUCAAACCGUAGCUUCUUUCUUUUUCUCAUCUUUCUCUCUCUCUUUCUUUCUU
Long non-coding RNA from Peromyscus leucopus (white-footed mouse), 494 nucleotides. RefSeq lists it as uncharacterized. Lineage: Eukaryota; Metazoa; Chordata; Mammalia; Rodentia; Cricetidae. The record is from RefSeq and is a predicted model, not a curated record. The transcript has 3 exons.